This 587-nucleotide ribosomal RNA is filed under the name uncultured bacterium. Its description in RNAcentral is "partial 16S ribosomal RNA". It matches the Rfam family "Bacterial small subunit ribosomal RNA", at positions 355 to 1375 of the family's 1533-position model. The record is from RNAcentral.
UGGGGAAUCUUGGACAAUGGGCGAAAGCCUGAUCCAGCAAUGCCGCGUGUGUGAAGAAGGCCUUCGGGUUGUAAAGCACUUUUGUCCGGAAAGAAAUCCUUGGCUCUAAUACAGUCGGGGGAUGACGGUACCGGAAGAAUAAGCACCGGCUAACUACGUGCCAGCAGCCGCGGUAAUACGUAGGGUGCAAGCGUUAAUCGGAAUUACUGGGCGUAAAGCGUGCGCAGGCGGUUUGCUAAGACCGAUGUGAAAUCCCCGGGCUCAACCUGGGGAACUGCAUUGGUGACUGGCAGGCUAGAGUAUGGCAGAGGGGGGUAGAAUUCCACGUGUAGCAGUGAAAUGCGUAGAGAUGUGGAGGAAUACCGAUGGCGAAGGCAGCCCCCUGGGCCAAAUACUGACGCUCAUGCACGAAAGCGUGGGGAGCAAACAGGAUUAGAUACCCUGGUAGUCCACGCCCUAAACGAUGUCAACUAGUUGUUGGGGAUUCAUUUCCUUAGUAACGUAGCUAACGCGUGAAGUUGACCGCCUGGGGAGUACGGUCGCAAGAUUAAAACUCAAAUGAAUUGACGGGGUCAUAGCUGUUUCCU